CCCCAAGAAACCACCUUUGAUCUGCGCCUUUCUAAACAAAAAGAGACACGUUUACCAUGGUAACCUUCAGUCAGUUUCAGCCUUGAGAGCCGUGUUAUUUCCAAUUGUCCCCGCCCGUGCCGACAGUGAAAUCCGCACGGAACGUCCAUGUCGAUUUCCGAGUAUCGCCAGCGCGGCGUCAACCCAGCAUGGACAAUACAGAGGGCAUGAAUAAGACUGACUCUGAAAGCACUGUUCUGAUAACCAAUGAGAGCGACAUUGGCCUCUCUACAACUGUCCAACGAGCCAUAGGAAAAAUUGAGACCGCGCAGUUGGCGAGAGCAAGACAGGAAGUUGCAGAACGUUUGAAGGACAUUCUGGACAAAGUGAAUUUUGCUUUGAGUCACGCAAGAUUUGACCACCAACAAGUGCCCAAAAUCACCUUCACCCCUGAAAAAAAGGAAAGGGAAUGGUUGAUCGAUACAAUCGCUGAAUUUGCAACUGGCAACAGCACCAAAGAGGAAAUCUUAAAGUUUAUUCUACAAUGGCUAUCAGACAGCAGUAUGCAGUUUAUUAUAAAGUAGUUGAUCUUCAGUGGCGUUAUGUAUUGAAUGGGGCAAAUUGUAAUCUAACUCACCCAUUUUGAGAAGCAGAGAAGUGCAGUUGUUUGAAGUAUAAGACUUUCUGUGACGGUACAAGCUGAGGAGCUGGGUGAUGUAAAAACAAGAUAUUUCAGCACUCCAGCUGGUGGGAGGGUGUAAUUACAGUGAUUAAUUAAAAACACACAUUCAUUAUAAAUGUAGACAUCGGGAAUUUAUGAUAGGAAAGGUUGUCAUAAAAGUUUAACAAAAAAUGAUGAGGAAGUAGAGUUUGGGCAUAGGACAUAUGCAUAAAUCUUAGAUUUUUUGGUAUUAUUAAAAUUGGUGUAUUGAAUAUAGAAUAGUAGGAACUUAAUAAUUUGCAUGUCCUAAUGGCAAUGUAAGCAAGGAAAGAGGAUUUCCAGGUCAUCCCAUCAACCAGGAUCCCAUUAAACCAUUUAUUAUAUUCUCCAUUACAAUUCCCUUGCUUUGUGCUGGAUAUGGGCCAGGUAAAGUUUUGAUUCAAACACUUCACCAGUGAGUAUUUAUGACACAAGGUGACAGACUAAAGAACAAGGCAACACUCAAUAUAAGUAUGUUAUCCAGUAGGUAAAGACACUGUUUUUGUACAAUAUACAAGCUAAUAUGAAACAGGUUUCAUUCCAGGCCUGUGUGCGUGUGUCUCACAGCAUUUGUAGCACCAAGACUGGAUUACUUAUGAAGGCUAAUCAGCCAGUGUCCUGUUGCUACUCAGCAGCUCUUGAUGGAAUAUAUUCAUAUAUGCAUAUCCAGUAAGAACAGCAUCAUAACUGAGUGGCUGAAUAUGAUUGAUUGUCAAAAAGCAGACUGAUUUUAGGAAAAUACUAAUUUAACAAGAAGGACACAUUGAAUGUAGGGUUGUUUGGCAUUGGUGAAAAGGUCAGAGUUUGUUGUCCAUCCCAAAUUGUCCUUGAAAUGGGUGGCUUACUGGGCUGUUUCAGAAGGCAGUUAAGAGCCAACCAUGUCGUGGAUCUGGAGUCAUAAGUAGGCCAGACCAGGUAAUGGCAGCAAACCUCCUUUCCUAAAGGGCAUGAGUGAAAUGGGUGGAUUUUUACAGUAGUUUCAUGGUCACCGUUACUCAGGCUCAUUUUAUAAUUCUAGAUUUUAACAAUUGAAUUUAAAUUCCAGCAGCUGUGGGUGGAUUUGAACCCAUAUCCCCAGAUCAGUGGUUUGGGUCUCUCGAUUACAAGUCCAAUCGCACUAUCACUAUACUAACACCUCUAAUAUUCCGAUGUUUUUCAUUAAACCACAUAUUAGAACAAUUCACGUUUUAGGCAUGCACCUAAUUAGAGUCAGCUGUAGGUUCCAAGGAAAGUUGUUGACUGUAGAAGUAUUUGUAGGCCUAGUUUUAAGAAUUAUUCUCUCAUGUUUAUUAAAUGGAUCUUCAUGAUUUUAUAUUUGCGAUAUAACCCAACCACAUUGCAACAACUCGUCGAGAUGUGAAAGGACUGCAGAGUAAGACUUGUAUUUAAUUUAUAAUUCAACAAUUGUAUCAAAGCCAAAUCUUUUCACAUGAACAGAAUUGGAAAUGCAUCUUUAGAUGUUCCACACAUAAAGCAUUUGAUGAUUAAUAUAUGUUUAUUGACAUUUGCCAGGGACUGGAAUGAUGCCUUCAAGUGUGCA
Molecule: long non-coding RNA, 2219 nt
Organism: Hemiscyllium ocellatum (epaulette shark)
Lineage: Eukaryota; Metazoa; Chordata; Chondrichthyes; Orectolobiformes; Hemiscylliidae
Exons: 3
Source: RefSeq, a predicted model, not a curated record